AAUCGUGACUCGGGUUACCGCGGCUGCUGGCACGGAGUUAGCCGGUGCUUCUUCUGCGAGUAACGUCACAGAUGUAAGGUAUUAACUUACACCCUUUCCUCCUCGCUGAAAGUGCUUUACAACCCGAAGGCCUUCUUCACACACGCGGCAUGGCUGCAUCAGGGUUUCCCCCAUUGUGCAAUAUUCCCCACUGCUGCCUCCCGUAGGAGUCUGGGCCGUGUCUCAGUCCCAGUGUGGCUGAUCAUCCUCUCAGACCAGCUAGGGAUCGUCGCCUAGGUGAGCCUUUACCUCACCUACUAGCUAAUCCCACCUGGGCUUAUCCAUCAGCGCAAGGCCCGAAGGUCCCCCUGCUUUCCCCCGUAGGGCGUAUGCGGUAUUAGCAGUCGUUUCCAACUGUUAUCCCCACAAAUGGGCAAAUUCCCAGGCAUUACUCACCCGUCCGCCGCUCGUCAUCUUCAAAAGCAAGCUUUUGAAACUGUUACCGCUCGACUUGCAUGUGUUAGGCCUGCCGCCAGCGUUCAAUCUGAACC
This 530-nucleotide ribosomal RNA is filed under the name uncultured bacterium. Its description in RNAcentral is "partial 16S ribosomal RNA". The record is from RNAcentral.